RNAcentral lists this unclassified non-coding RNA (268 nucleotides) under fungal sp. Its description in RNAcentral is "partial internal transcribed spacer region". The stretch from base 1 to 46 matches the Rfam family "Eukaryotic small subunit ribosomal RNA", at positions 1786 to 1831 of the family's 1831-position model. The record is from RNAcentral. Lineage: Eukaryota; Fungi.
AAGUCGUAACAAGGUUUCCGUAGGUGAACCUGCGGAAGGAUCAUUACCAAUUGGUCUAACCAACCAAACUACUUUUGUGCAACUACCUGUGGUCUUGGUGCUAGCGGGGUGAUUCCCGCGACCACCUCGACUAUUGUUUACUUACUUUGUUUACCGUCUAAUGACUUCAGUUUACCUAGACAUUACUGACAUGCCUGGCUUGAAACCCACGGUAGUCAGUAAGCGUCAAUGGGAAAAACAACUUUUAGCAACGGAUCUCUAGGCUCUC